RNAcentral lists this unclassified non-coding RNA (253 nucleotides) under plant metagenome. RNAcentral's name for it is "partial contains small subunit ribosomal RNA, internal transcribed spacer 1, and 5.8S ribosomal RNA". The stretch from base 206 to 253 matches the Rfam family "5.8S ribosomal RNA", at positions 1 to 49 of the family's 154-position model. The record is from RNAcentral.
UUUCCGUAGAUGAACCUGCGGAAGGAUCAUUAAUGUGUUUGGGCCUCACGGCUCUUCAUUCCGACGCUGUGCGCCUUCGGGCUGCACGCUGAGGGAGCAUAUAUCCACCCCUGUGCACACACACGGUGGCGAGCUGGGUAACGGCUCGCCGCUGAUCUUUACACACGUCUAAAAGUCAUUGUAUGUUUAUUUGAGAUAAAAACACAACUUUCAGCAACGGAUCUCUUGGCUCUCGCUCGAUGAAGAACGCAGC